ACGACAUCGGGGUCGUUGAUGUCCAUCCGCUGUGCGACAUGCGACAUGAGCAGAUGCUUGUGAACGAGGAACUCCAGCGUUUCCCGCUCGUGUUCCGGCAGUUGCAGCCGCCGUCCGGUUUCUUGCGCGAUGCGAUAACCGACCUCGGAAUGAUCCUCCACGUAGCCUUUGCCCAGGUCGUGCAGCAGGAUUGCCAGGUGCACCGUCCGCUUGUUGCGCAGGUGGCGGUAAACUUCGCCCGCCGGCGUGCUCGCCUUCAGCAGAUUUGUAAGUU
Molecule: unclassified non-coding RNA, 274 nt
Filed under: plant metagenome
Description: partial contains 5.8S ribosomal RNA, internal transcribed spacer 2, and large subunit ribosomal RNA
Source: RNAcentral